Phrynosoma platyrhinos (Desert horned lizard) is the source of this 71-nucleotide non-coding RNA. Lineage: Eukaryota; Metazoa; Chordata; Lepidosauria; Squamata; Phrynosomatidae. The record is from the annotation of a GenBank genome assembly.
GCCAGUGUAGCGCAGUGGUUUGAGGGUUGGGCUACAGCUCUGGAGAUCAGGGUUCAAUUCCCUGUUUGGCC